UCUUCUGAUUAUCUGGCGAUCUUUUUGGUCCAGACACCAAUACGACAUUACUAGACUCACAUGAAGAUGAGGAAGGAACUGCAGUUUGGGUUUUUUCCUUAGUUGAUGCUGUUCCUAGUGGUUUGAUCUCAUGAUAGUUUGAUGGUUGUGCAUUCUUAGUUUCCUGGAGGCUUGAAGUUGUCAACUGUAGAGCCUGUGCAGCUACCAACCUAGGAGACGAAAUGGCACCUUG
Molecule: unclassified non-coding RNA, 232 nt
Filed under: Hevea brasiliensis (rubber tree)
Lineage: Eukaryota; Viridiplantae; Streptophyta; Magnoliopsida; Malpighiales; Euphorbiaceae
Source: RNAcentral